UGUUUCGGCUAGGGGGCCAUCCCGGCUUACCAACCCGAUGCAAACUGCGAAUACCGGAGAAUGUUAUCACGGGAGACACACGGCGGGUGCUAACGUCCGUCGUGAAGAGGGAAACAACCCAGACCGCCAGCUAAGGUCCCAAAGUCAUGGUUAAGUGGGAAACGAUGUGGGAAGGCCCAGACAGCCAGGAUGUUGGCUUAGAAGCAGCCAUCAUUUAAAGAAAGCGUAAUAGCUCACUGGUCGAGUCGGCCUGCGCGGAAGAUGUAACGGGGCUAAACCAUGCACCGAAGCUGCGGCAGCGAACGUAUCACUUAAAGCGAUUCAGCGGGUUACGAUUGACGGAGCGAAGCGACGUCAAAGCGUAUACAAAGUCGAGUCGGUUUAAGGAUACGUUCGUUGGGUAGGGGAGCGUUCUGUAAGCCUGUGAAGGUGGCCUGUGAGGGUUGCUGGAGGUAUCAGAAGUGCGAAUGCUGACAUAAGUAACGAUAAAGCGGGUGAAAAGCCCGCUCGCCGGAAGACCAAGGGUUCCUGUCCAACGUUAAUCGGGGCAGGGUGAGUCGACCCCUAAGGCGAGGCCGAAAGGCGUAGUCGAUGGGAAACGGGUUAAUAUUCCCGUACUUGGUGUUACUGCGAAGGGGGGACGGAGAAGGCUAUGUUGGCCGGGCGACGGUUGUCCCGGUUUAAGCGUGUAGGUGUGUGUUCCAGGUAAAUCCGGUUCACUUUAACACUGAGGCGUGACGACGAGGCACUACGGUGCUGAAGCAACAAAUGCCCUGCUUCCAGGAAAAGCCUCUAAGCAUCAGGUAACAUCAAAUCGUACCCCAAACCGACACAGGUGGUCAGGUAGAGAAUACCAAGGCGCUUGAGAGAACUCGGGUGAAGGAACUAGGCAAAAUGGUGCCGUAACUUCGGGAGAAGGCACGCUGACAC
Molecule: ribosomal RNA, 930 nt
Filed under: Salmonella enterica subsp. enterica serovar Newport
Lineage: Bacteria; Pseudomonadati; Pseudomonadota; Gammaproteobacteria; Enterobacterales; Enterobacteriaceae
Description: partial 23S ribosomal RNA
Rfam family: Bacterial large subunit ribosomal RNA
Source: RNAcentral